This 253-nucleotide ribosomal RNA is filed under the name uncultured bacterium. Its description in RNAcentral is "partial 16S ribosomal RNA". It matches the Rfam family "Bacterial small subunit ribosomal RNA", at positions 524 to 776 of the family's 1533-position model. The record is from RNAcentral.
UACGAAGGGGGCUAGCGUUGCUCGGAAUCACCGGGCGUAAAGGGUGCGUAGGCGGGUCUUUAAGUCAGGGGGGAAAUCCUGGAGCUCAACUCCAGAACUGCCUUUGAUACUGAGGAUCUUGAGUUCGGGAGAGGUGAGUGGAACUGCGAGUGUAGAGGUGAAAUUCGUAGAUAUUCGCAAGAACACCAGUGGCGAAGGCGGCUCGCUGGCCCGAUACUGACGCUGAGGCACGAAAGCGUGGGGAGCAAACAGG